Thalassophryne amazonica is the source of this 152-nucleotide long non-coding RNA. RefSeq lists it as uncharacterized. The transcript has 3 exons. Lineage: Eukaryota; Metazoa; Chordata; Actinopteri; Batrachoidiformes; Batrachoididae. The record is from RefSeq and is a predicted model, not a curated record.
CACAGCUUCCCUCAAAGCUUCAUCAGCAUCCAUGUCAAAUUCUUCUAUGUUUUCUCUGACAACAGCGUCAAAGGUAUCCUGUGUGAUCCUCCUCGACAUUUUGCCUGUUAUUAAAUAAUGAUGUCAAAAUAUGACGGAGUUCAUUAGUUAAU